Molecule: signal recognition particle RNA, 308 nt
Filed under: Sulfolobaceae archaeon
Lineage: Archaea; Thermoproteati; Thermoproteota; Thermoprotei; Sulfolobales; Sulfolobaceae
Also listed under: 1 other name
Description: signal recognition particle sRNA
Rfam family: Archaeal signal recognition particle RNA
Source: RNAcentral
UGGUCGGGGAGGGUGGGGGGUCUAGCCAGCCCCUGUAACCCGCAUGGCUUAAUGCGGGCACCAGUAACUCCCAUACCAUAAUACCUGUUACCUCCAGAUCCUAGCCUAACGAUGAGUGCCGCCCGAUGGGGCGAGAUAGUUGCGGGUCUUCCCUCUGGAGGGAGGGAAGAUACCGCAUUGACCGGGGGAAUCGGCCAGGUCCGGAAGGGAGCAACCGUGCCCGGCUAUCCGCGUUCAUCGGUCACCGGCAUGAGAAGGGCUAGGGAAAGUCUGGGGUGAUAAGGGUUAUGGUAUGGGAGAGCCGACCG